UACGGGGGGGGCAAGCGUUGUUCGGAAUUACUGGGCGUAAAGGGCGCGUAGGCGGCCUGCUAAGUCGGAUGUGAAGUCCCUCGGCUCAACCGAGGAACUGCAUCCGAUACUGGCGGGCUUGAAUCCGGGAGAGGGAUGUGGAAUUCCAGGUGUAGCGGUGAAAUGCGUAGAUAUCUGGAGGAACACCGGUGGCGAAGGCGGCAUCCUGGACCGGUAUUGACGCUGAGGCGCGAAAGCUAGGGGAGCAAACGGG
Molecule: ribosomal RNA, 253 nt
Filed under: uncultured bacterium
Lineage: Bacteria
Description: partial 16S ribosomal RNA
Rfam family: Bacterial small subunit ribosomal RNA
Source: RNAcentral